UUAAAUUUAUAUUUCUAUCCUUCAAAGGCAUUUGUAUAGUUUUUGUCUUAAAUGAGUUAACAUUAAUGAUUCAUAGUUAUGAUUAUUUUACAAUUGUAAUUGUGUAUUGUAUUAACCUUAAUGUACUAAUAUAUCUAGAACAGCAUACACAAAUUUUUGUAUUAGUAUCAUCCAUUUCAUGGGCGGAUUCAGCCAUUUUCAAAAGGGGGGUUCUCAAACAAAGAUAAAAGGGGGAUGGAGGGCAGAAGGUUUCAACUAUAUGUCCCCAUUCAAAUGCAUUGAUCAUCCAACAUAAAUGAAGGGGGUGUAUUUCUGACCCCUGGAACUCUCUUCUGGAUCCACCACUGCAUUUGUAUUUUCCUACUUUAAAGAAUAAUUUAAUGAUUUUUUUUUACGGUUUACACAAAUUCUGUGUUAUUUUUAAAAUGUUUUUUGUACCCUUCACAUAGGAUGAAAACAGAGUAUUGGUCAUUGGUUUUAUAAUUAUUAUAUUUUUUAUGUACUAGGAUGAACAGCCUGAAAUGUUUUUUGAAUGUGUACCA
Molecule: long non-coding RNA, 542 nt
Filed under: Mytilus galloprovincialis (Mediterranean mussel)
Lineage: Eukaryota; Metazoa; Mollusca; Bivalvia; Mytilida; Mytilidae
Source: RNAcentral